UCCCUCGGGAAACUGAGGUUAAUAUCUGAUAGGAGAUUUAUACUGGAAAGAUUAAUCUUUAAAAUUCGAGCCUAAGGAUGGGGCUGCGGUGGAUUAGGUUGUUGGCGGGGUAAUAGCCCACCAAGCCUUUGAUCCAUAGGGGCUCUUAGCGGAGAAGCCCCGAGAGGGAAUCUGAGACACUAUUCCCAGCCCUACGGGGUGCAGCAGUUAGGAAUAUUCUGCAAUGCGCGUAAGCGUGACAGAUUGAGUCAGAGUGCGCUUCAAUUUGGAGUGCUUUUGCUAAAUGUAAAAAGUUUGGCGAAUAAGGACUGGGUAAGACGAGUGCCAGCCGCCGCGGUAAUACUCGCGGUCCAAGUCGCAGCCAUUUUUAUUGGGUCUAAAACAUCCGUAGCUUGCUUGGUGAGUUCCUUGUGAAAUUCUAUAUCUCAAAUAUGGAGCGUGCAGGGAGUACUGCCAAGCUAGAGACUGGAAGACGUAACGAGUACGUUUGGAGUAGCGGUAAAAUGUGUUAAUCCCGGACGGACUAACAAUAGCGAAGGCACGUUACGAGGACAGUUCUGACAGUAAGGGAUGAAGGCUAGGGGCGCAAAACGGAUUAGAUACCCGUGUAGUCCUAGCAGUAAACACUGCACACUAAACAUUAGUACCUCCUCGAGAGGUAUUGGUGCUGAAGGGAAGCCGAAGAGUGUGCUACCUGGGAAGUAUAGUCGCAAGGCCGAAACUUAAAGGAAUUG
Molecule: ribosomal RNA, 734 nt
Filed under: uncultured euryarchaeote
Lineage: Archaea; Methanobacteriati; Methanobacteriota
Description: bacterial SSU rRNA
Rfam family: Archaeal small subunit ribosomal RNA
Source: RNAcentral